Stomoxys calcitrans (stable fly) is the source of this 418-nucleotide long non-coding RNA. RefSeq lists it as uncharacterized. NCBI's taxonomy places the organism in Eukaryota, Metazoa, Arthropoda, Insecta, Diptera, Muscidae. The record is from RefSeq and is a predicted model, not a curated record. The transcript is spliced from 3 exons.
AGCGGAGCGGGCCAGCCUUUUGGUUUACAAUGAAUGAACAAAAAGUCGUGCAGCACACUAAUUAACACCUUUUGUACUGUCAUAUUAAUUCAUUAGGAAAGUAUUUGCUAUAAAAACCGUCUAGAUUCUCUUGAUAAUCAUUCAGUUUUCUUUGCAAAUUAUAGCAAAACAAACCAACUCCAAAAAGUCCAAUAUGAAAUUCUUUGCAACCAUUGCUGUAGCCGUUAUGGGUGUUUUGGCAAUUGCUUCUGCUAAUCCUGAACCCAUCUUACCCGUAGUUACCGGUUUGACCGAGGGAAUGGGAAUCGGAAAGUGAGAAAAUGAAUGGUUUUGAAAAAUUUUAACUCAUCACAAAAGCUAUUGGAAUACACUAGGACUAAUCUGAAUAUUUUAAUAAAAGCCCUAUAAUAAAAAUAAA